Molecule: ribosomal RNA, 449 nt
Filed under: uncultured bacterium
Lineage: Bacteria
Description: partial 16S ribosomal RNA
Rfam family: Bacterial small subunit ribosomal RNA
Source: RNAcentral
AAUGAACGCUGGCGGCAUGCCUAACACAUGCAAGUCGAACGAAGGCUUCGGCCUUAGUGGCGCACGGGUGCGUAACGCGUGGGAAUCUGCCCUCAGGUUCGGAAUAACAGCGGGAAAUUGCUGCUAAUACCGGAUGAUAUCGCGAGAUCAAAGAUUUAUCGCCUGAGGAUGAGCCCGCGUAGGAUUAGCUAGUUGGUGUGGUAAAGGCGCACCAAGGCGACGAUCCUUAGCUGGUCUGAGAGGAUGAUCAGCCACACUGGGACUGAGACACGGCCAGGACUCCUCGGGGAGGCAGCAGGGGGGAAUAUUGGACAAGGGGCGAAAGCCUGAUCCAGCAAGGCCGCGUGAGUGAUGAAGGCCUUAGGGUUGUAAAGCUCUUUUACCCGGGAUGAUAAUGACGGUACCGGAAGAAUAAGCCCCGGCUAACCCCGUGCCAGCCGCCGCCGUAA